Molecule: long non-coding RNA, 3064 nt
Organism: Capsicum annuum
Lineage: Eukaryota; Viridiplantae; Streptophyta; Magnoliopsida; Solanales; Solanaceae
Exons: 2
Source: RefSeq, a predicted model, not a curated record
CCUAAAUAAGAUCCUUUUCAAUGGGGGAGGUGGUAUCGAUUUUUAGAGUACAAAAGUUGUCAUGACCAAUAAAUGAUUGCCACCCGUCCAAUGUCGUUGGGGAGCAAUGUGUCCACUAGCGUGUGUCAACGCGGCUCUGUCGAGGGCAACUGGUGUUUUCUAGAAUCCUUGACAUAUUGUCCUUUCAUUUGUACAUUAGUAUGUACUCACCAUCCCUAGCUAGUCUCAAACGCCCUCACCUUUCACUCAAGUGUACGCUCCAGCGCAUUGAUAUCGUCUCCGAGAUGGUGCCAUUAUGAGCCGACUUCACUCACCUGGCAAAAAAUGACUCAAUCGGACCAAUCAACCCAAACACACCCUAUGCCAGUUUUACUACAUACAAAUAGUCCCUCAAUCUUACGGGUGCAACAUUCAUUGCGGUUGGAAGACAGAACAAAUUUCUAAAGCGCCUUCUACAUUUCAUCUCCCCGAUUCAUUCCUUUUUUAUGAAAUAUCACAUUAUUUGAACCUUUAAAGCUUCCACCUUUCAAGUGAUGUCUCUCCUUUUUACACGCGUACUUCAGAGAUAAGGCGAUGUUUUCCUUGGGGAUUGUACUGAUCGUGACGUUUCAUAAUUGAGUUACAAUUCGUCUCUCUUUAUGGUGCCUGCACAUAUCAAAUGUAUUUAUCAAAAACUUCCUACUUACCUUUUUUUCCUUCUAUCAGACCUUCUCUCAAAAAAGAAAAAUUCUCCAGGACGCUCCUAACUAUAAUUUACCCCCCUCACAUAUUGCUGUCAUGUCUCACUCUUUAAGUUCUCAUCUUCUUCCUUCAACUUCAAAUAGUUUGUCUAGUGUCCAAAAAGAUGGCGGGUUCCCUUUUGACUCCACUAUGGAGAAAAUACCACUAAUGAUUUUGAGGCUCCUUUAAGAAAGAAAAGGAUACCAGGACCGUUGAGGGGAUUUCUUUUGUGGUUUAUUUGUCAUAUAUCUACUCUGUUCGUUCGACGUACUGAUGGUCCCCUAAUUUCAAUACUAAAGUUCCUUAUAUCAUGGAGAGGGUCGCUACCCAUAGACCUGACUUUAUUUUCAUGUACACGUUGUCGUUUUUCUUGGGAUUGGGUGAUCCCAUAGAUGACGGUUUCAUUUCAUUUGGCCCCACUUUCCAGCUAAGCUUGGGGCAACUUAGUUCUUGCCUAUAGAAAUUUGUUGCCUGCCUCAUGAUCCUGGCUAACUUAUCUGGCGCGUAGUUCACAUUCGCGAACCUCAUCUUGCUUUUUCUUCGAGGUUAACUCGAGAGGGUUUAGUAGAACCAGAGCCCACAACCCAUGUCCAUUCUAGGCUACUUGAGCGACUCCCCAGAAGUUUUGUGGUCGUUUCUACUGAGGAGUUGCCUGGAGUGACAAUCACUUUUACUUGGAAUGUGGCCUUUAAGUUCGUCACCUCACAUUUCUUCAAUUAUUAUUCAUUAAUGUUCGCUUCACUCACCUAGCCUUAUAUCUUUCUAGUGGCGUCCACCAACGAAUGUAAUCCUUACUCUAACUGGGACUUUCAGAGAACGGGUCUCGAGGAUCUUAUCGUUGGGAAGAACGUGAAAUUGGUCCACCUUAUUCCUCUUUUCAUAACUUGGCUUGCUUUCUCGAUAUUCUCAAUCAUAGUUAGGGAUUUUUCCUCCUUUUAUCUUCUUUUAUUUUUAUUUAACUCGUUCUUAUCUUUCAUUUCUUUCGCAAGUCCUAUAUUAAAAGAGGAUCUGAUUGUGUUCUCGUCAAUCAUUUAAAUUCUCCCGUACUUGAGAGACCCCAUGCCCUACCCACGCCUUAGCUUUCGGAGGUGAUCCUGAUCACCCGAGCGACUACUAGUAUAGUAAAAUGCUUCCGAGGUCCAAUCAGAGUUCUUACCCUUUGAUAGGGAAAUGAUCAGCCACAGAGUGGUGAUGAUAUAUGACUCAGAUGAGGUACAUUCUGAGCCUCCCAAGAUUCAAAUGGACGAUCCGUGCUAGGGGAACUUUAAUUCAUCCUAAGGAUGCAUCCGUUAUUGGUCCAAAGACUAUUUAGGGUCUUCCCCCAUUCUCUUGCAUCGUUCGCCCAGUGGGAGCCUCACUUCAGAAACCGUUCUAGCCUAGGACCCCAUACUUUCGUGAAUGACCCAGACAUGUUUACCGGUUAUUUUUUAGAUCCAAUGGGUGAGCCAUUAAUAUCUUAGAAAGUUUGUCUGUCCAUUCCCUCAGAUGUAAAUUUCUUGUCUAGGCCGGCCCGAGUACCCAAUCAUUGGUCUCUCCUGGUGAUAAAAGAAGUUAGAUGUUGUUCCAGUUGAAUGCCUAGCAAUCGAGAGUGUCCAUGCCUCAGCGCAGGACAACUUCUUGGCUGUGGAUAACCUGCAAUUGCAGCAAAAAGAAUGGAGUACAAUGGAGACGUGUUGUACUAUGCUAUAGAUUUGAGGCCUACUAAGUGACCAACCCUAGUUGGUUGAGUCCCUUUUACACACUAAUUCUGAGGUUGAUGCCCUCAAGCUAUAGAUUGAAGAUGUUAAACAAGAGAGGGAGACCUUUCAGAAGAUGGCCCAGUAAAGGCGUGUCGACAUUGAGAGAUUGGAUCAGGAGCGUACAGUGCAUUUUGGAUGAUUGGGGGCUACUUUAUUGAUAGGGCGAGUUACAAGUAGAGCUUCAUAGGGAACUCUAAGGAUCCUCCCCCAAUCCUUCGAACGAGGUUGGUCUGUUACAUCCUAUCGAGGUGCUGGAUUAUUUUGAGCUUCAUCGGCUUUGGAAGAAGAUUUGCUUGCACAUGACCGCAACUCAAAUGGCAGGAUCUUUCCAUUAAUGGGCUUCUCGUAUACUCCUCGCAUGAUAGUACUCAUUUCAAAACUACCCUUUCUGGAGUCAUGGCCUACUUCCCUGCAAAGUAAAACACAAAAGAAAACUGGAAAGAAAGAAAAAGCUAAAAAUCCACACAGUUGCUUUGGCCCCAUUGUGGGCGCCAAACUAUUUACCAUUUUUUUUGUACAAUUGAAAUUGUUCAUGAGUCAAGAGCACGUGUGUAAGACCCUGCAAAGUUUCCUCGUAGUCUAAGCCUUUAGAGCACCUUAUUUCA